Silurus meridionalis is the source of this 1969-nucleotide long non-coding RNA. RefSeq lists it as uncharacterized. The transcript has 2 exons. The record is from RefSeq and is a predicted model, not a curated record. Lineage: Eukaryota; Metazoa; Chordata; Actinopteri; Siluriformes; Siluridae.
AUGCUGAGAAAACGGUGCUGUCACAUCCUUUGAUACUGAACACCUCACAUCAGGUAACAGCUAUUUUACACAACCUCAACACACAACAUAUGACAGCACAACAUAGAUCUGGUUAUGAAACCACACUCUUAGCAACAGAAAACGUAACUAUUGAGCCUCUUCUCAGCCACAUUCAGCUGUAGUAGUGCUGCGUGAUCUGCUAGACGAUAUUGAUUUAGAGGGUAUUGACGACGCACAUGAUUGUCUUAAACACAUUGAACAAGAGACCUCUUAUAGGCCUGAUCUUUUAGAUACGGCCCUGGAUACUGCCUCUAUGUAGAUGGAUCGUGUGUCUUCUGAUGAUGUGUAUUUAUGUGGAUAUGCAGUUGUAAGAUUAUCUGAUGAAAUAGUUGAAGCUAAAUCAUUACCACACACAUCUGCACAAGCUAAAACAACCAAGCUAGUGUUGGAAAAUAGACAUCAAAUAGAUGUUCUUGGAAAUCUUCUGUGAGAAUGUAUUUUAUAUGUGCUUGCUUGUGUCCUGAGAAUGAACUAAUUGUACCAAGAUUUAUGUUGCUAAAAUGUUACUCCACAGCUUGAUUAGGCAGGAGUAGUUGAAGGUCACCGAACAUGUUUCUGUUUUUCUACGUGUAUAUUCUGUUCCUCCUUACACAUACCUAUGUCUUAGUUGGCUUUAAAAUAACAGUGUUGAUUAAUGCUGAGCCUGGGUACAGCACGAAAAGCACAUAGGAGAAGAUUAUGUUCUGUUUUCUUACAACUAACUUCUGUGUUCACUACCUGUGUUUUACUACCUAGUCAGAUGCUCAUCUCGCGAGAAGGGACGUUGACUCCCUCCCAUUGCGCAAUAACCCCGCCUCCGUGGCGCCUUUGUUGCAAAGCUGUGUGUAUAAAUACUUUGUUCUGAUACAUUUUUUUUGAACAGUGAUCUUGAAUAAACCAGACGUGAUUUGAUUCGUGUGGGUUGUUCUUUCAUUGUUCCGAGGCGCCUCUACAGUGUGGCAAAGAGAGAGCAUAAGGACCUGAGGGGAAAAUCUUCCUAACAAUCUGGUGACCCCGACGUGAUACUCUCGAUCAGUAACCAUUAGAGACCAUCCGUAGACCUUGUUCCUCCACAGACUGAGGGUAAAAUCUCGCCCUGGACACCAACGUCGAACCGCAGACACUCUGGUGUAGGCUUAUAGGACACAAACCACACUGCUAGAUGUGUCGGAAGAAGCUAGGUGGGGAACAACAACCUCUGCUGGACAAAGACACGGCCAGUGACCAGUAUGGCCGCCCCUACUAAUACUACUGUCCAUGCUUGGGACAGGGUUACCCGUCCAAGCACAUCCACACACAUAUUUGUAUUACUGAUACCUGCAUACCACAUAACGGUACCUCUAACUCGCAGAAGUGUUUGGGCUUUAGCUGCAACCCUGAGAGAACCACAAUAUAUGCGUUUGCAAGGGCUUUAGGAACCUGAUUAUACUUAAAUCAUUAAUUAUUAAGUAUAAAAGAGGGGUUUGUGAGAAUGUAUUUUAUAUGUGCUUGCUUGUGUCCUGAGAAUGAACUAAUUGUACCAAGAUUUAUGUUGCUAAAAUGUUACUCCACAGCUUGAUUAGGCAGGAGUAGUUGAAGGUCACCGAACAUGUUUCUGUUUUUCUACGUGUAUAUUCUGUUCCUCCUUACACAUACCUAUGUCUUAGUUGGCUUUAAAAUAACAGUGUUGAUUAAUGCUGAGCCUGGGUACAGCACGAAAAGCACAUAGGAGAAGAUUAUGUUCUGUUUUCUUACAACUAACUUCUGUGUUCACUACCUGUGUUUUACUACCUAGUCAGAUGCUCAUCUCGCGAGAAGGGACGUUGACUCCCUCCCAUUGCGCAAUAACCCCGCCUCCGUGGCGCCUUUGUUGCAAAGCUGUGUGUAUAAAUACUUUGUUCUGAUACAUUUUUUUUGAACAGUGAUCUUGAAUAAACCAGACGUGAUUUGA